GACCGUUGGAUAGCUCAGUUAGCAGAGCAUGAGCCUCUGAACCUCAGGGUCCUGGGUUCAAGCCCCACAUUGGGCA
This is a non-coding RNA of Podarcis lilfordi (Lilford's wall lizard), 76 nucleotides long. The record is from the annotation of a GenBank genome assembly. Lineage: Eukaryota; Metazoa; Chordata; Lepidosauria; Squamata; Lacertidae.